This is a non-coding RNA of Liolophura sinensis, 82 nucleotides long. The record is from the annotation of a RefSeq genome assembly. NCBI's taxonomy places the organism in Eukaryota, Metazoa, Mollusca, Polyplacophora, Chitonida, Chitonidae.
GCUCUGAUGGCCGAGUGGUUAAGGCGUUGGACUUAAAAUCCAAUUAGCAAUUCACAUGCGGGUUCGAACCCUGCUCGCAGCG